RNAcentral lists this transfer RNA (64 nucleotides) under Brachionus koreanus. RNAcentral describes it as "tRNA-Tyr". Lineage: Eukaryota; Metazoa; Rotifera; Eurotatoria; Ploima; Brachionidae. The record is from RNAcentral.
GACUAUUUAUUAUAAUUUAUUAUAUCAGACUGUAAAUCUGAAGAUGUUGAUAUUUCAAUAGUUA